GUCCUUUUGUUANAUAUUUAAGGUCUGACCUGCCCAAUGAYWWAUUUAAUGGCUGCGAUAUCCUAAUCGUACAAAGGUAGCAUAAUAAUUUGUCUUUUAAUUGAAGGCUGGUAUGAAUGGUUGGACGAGAUAUAAUCUUUCUUUGUUUUAUUUAAAAAAUUUAAUUUUUGGGUUAAAAAGCUCGAAUUUAUUUAUAGGACGGAGAAGACCCUAUAGAACUUUAUUUAUUUUUUAGUGAAGGAUUUUUUGAUUAUUAAUUUCUUUUAUUUAAUUUUUAAUUUUGUUGGGGUGACAGGAAGAUUUAUUUAACUCUUCUUUAAUUUAUUUCAUUAAUUUUUGUUUUGUUUGAUCCAGUAUUAUUGAUUAUAAGAUUAAGUUACCUUAGGGAUAACAGCGUUAUUUUUCCGGAGAGUUCUUAUUGAUGGAAAAGUUUGCGACCUCGAUGUUGAAUUAAGAUUAUUAUUAGGUGUAGCAGCUUAAUUAAUAGGUCUGUUCGACCUUUUUAUUCUUACA
RNAcentral lists this ribosomal RNA (513 nucleotides) under Nerthra adspersa. Its description in RNAcentral is "partial 16S ribosomal RNA". It matches the Rfam family "Archaeal large subunit ribosomal RNA", at positions 1922 to 2671 of the family's 2987-position model. The record is from RNAcentral. Lineage: Eukaryota; Metazoa; Arthropoda; Insecta; Hemiptera; Gelastocoridae.